UACAGAGGUCCCAAGCGUUGCUCGGAAUCACUGGGCGUAAAGGGUGCGUAGGCGGGUCUUUUAAGUCAGGGGGUGAAAUCCUGGAGCUCAACUCCAGAACUGCCUUUGAUACUGAGGAUCUUGAGUUCGGGAGAGGUGAGUGGAACUGCGAGUGUAGAGGUGAAAUUCGUAGAUAUUCGCAAGAACACCAGUGGCGAAGGCGGCUCACUGGCCCGAUACUGACGCUGAGGCACGAAAGCGUGGGGAGCAAACAGGG
RNAcentral lists this ribosomal RNA (256 nucleotides) under uncultured bacterium. RNAcentral describes it as "partial 16S ribosomal RNA". It matches the Rfam family "Bacterial small subunit ribosomal RNA", at positions 524 to 777 of the family's 1533-position model. The record is from RNAcentral.